RNAcentral lists this transfer RNA (72 nucleotides) under Candidatus Omnitrophota bacterium. RNAcentral describes it as "Candidatus Omnitrophica bacterium tRNA-Arg". It matches the Rfam family "tRNA". From Rfam's summary of the family: Transfer RNA (tRNA) molecules are approximately 80 nucleotides in length. Their secondary structure includes four short double-helical elements and three loops (D, anti-codon, and T loops). Lineage: Bacteria; Pseudomonadati; Candidatus Omnitrophota. The record is from RNAcentral.
GUCCCUGUGGCCUAAAGGAUAAGGCACAGGCCUCCGGAGCCUGGCAUGGCAGUUCGAUUCUGCCCAGGGACA